This 69-nucleotide microRNA precursor is filed under the name Bombyx mori (domestic silkworm). Its description in RNAcentral is "mir-2774 microRNA precursor family". It matches the Rfam family "mir-2774 microRNA precursor family". Lineage: Eukaryota; Metazoa; Arthropoda; Insecta; Lepidoptera; Bombycidae. The record is from Rfam by way of RNAcentral.
CUCACAUCUGGACUGUCGGUCUACCGAGCAAUUUGACGUGCUCGGUGGAAGAUCUUCCCUAUAUGUCGU